CGGCUAAUUUCCCUACGAUCCCCAUAAAUAGGUCAUGUACUGCUCCAGCAUAUCUCAUGAUUGUCUCUCUGUCAAAAUUGAAACUUCUAUACAGUUAAAUCACAUGUGUUCAUCAAUUAUUUCAGGAUCAGUUACUUUUACAGAAAGAGGGAUGAAGUACCUUUGAUGCGGUGAAGCAUCCAAUUGAGAGCAAAAGGAAUCGACGUCUUGAGGAGAUGACAUGUCAUACAAUCCGAGUGCUUCGUAGAGCGGAUUUUUUGCCGAUGGAGCCAUAUAUCCGCUUCCGGUGAUGACAUCGGUGUUCUGGCGCUUGAUCUCCACCGGUAAAUCGAAGAGUGAUCUGACCACCGCCUUCAUCUCCGACAUCAGCGUCGAUGGGAGGACUUCGUGGUGGUUGAGUAGCCGGAAACAGCCCCAUUCUUCGCAUGCUGAGAUCAAUUUGGAUAAUUGGUUGGGGGAAUCUAAAUCUUGUAGAUCGAUCACCGGGAUACUGCAUUUGGUGGCCAUGUCGUGAAGCUGAAAUUUGCGUGGUAAAUUGGGGGAUUUAUAAAGGGGAGUUGCAGAGAGGGAUUUGUUUUUUGCUUCAAGGAGACAAAUUGCCAAAAAUACCGCCGAAUUUUGUCUUUACUGUCUAACUAGAAAAAGAUAGAUUAAUGGUGAGAUGUAAUUUAAUAAAAAUAUAUUUGACAUUUAGUUACAAAUCAGUGUUAGCUUUGUAGUUUUUAGGACCUGUUUCUCAAUCUUUUAAUUUUUUAUUUUAGGUAAAUUUUCAUUUUUAAAAGUAUCCAGCGAAUUUGAUGAACA
Long non-coding RNA from Lactuca sativa (garden lettuce), 804 nucleotides. RefSeq lists it as uncharacterized. NCBI's taxonomy places the organism in Eukaryota, Viridiplantae, Streptophyta, Magnoliopsida, Asterales, Asteraceae. The record is from RefSeq and is a predicted model, not a curated record.